Ziziphus jujuba (common jujube) is the source of this 1077-nucleotide RNA transcript. RefSeq lists it as uncharacterized. The transcript is spliced from 3 exons. NCBI's taxonomy places the organism in Eukaryota, Viridiplantae, Streptophyta, Magnoliopsida, Rosales, Rhamnaceae. The record is from RefSeq and is a predicted model, not a curated record.
UUGAAGUAGCAAAGAAGUCCCCAGUAUAAAAAUCGCUUUUCCAAAAGUCGUUUUCACAGAAGUAGUCGUCAAGAAGAGGAAAGCAGAGAGUGCAAGCUCAGAGAAAGAGAAAACCCCCAAAUAAUUUUAUUUUAUUUUUUAAAAGUUGUAAAUUGUGAGGAAAUAGUUUAAUUAGGGUUUUGGGAAAUGGAAAUAAGAAAUGUGCUCAAGGACAAGAAAUUCUGGUUCGCAUCGUUCCUCAUUGCCUGGGCCGCCGCUCUCCAGGGACACAUGAUGUGGCUGCAGAGACAGGACUCUUUCAAGCAAAAGUUUGGGAAUCUCGAACACAAGAACGAGGAUACUGUUGAUGAAUAAACAAAAUUGUUACUAAAACACACUUUUGCUUCUGAAAUCUAAAACCUAUCAGAAAAUUUUUCUGGAAGCACAAAGAUCGCUGGCUGUGUCGCCUUAAAAUAUACUUUUAGUGAUAUUUUUUGCAAACGAUGCAUUUUGUUGAUUUUAAUUUUAAGUUAGAAAUUCAACUGUUGCAUGCUUUCCUUCUAGCUGUCAAGACUUAGGAAAUUCCCAAGAUGUGGUUUCAAAUUUAUUUUUAUUUUAUUUCUUGUAUAAGUGAGAGGAGUAGGAUUCUGAAAUCUUUAUAGUUUAGUGUUUUACCGGAUCUUAACUCGGCUAUUUACAGUUGCUACUAAUUUUUGCAUCUUUCAAAUUAAGAGGCAGUUCAUAUAACCUUUACAUCUAUUUUGUAUUGCUAACAAGAUAGCAACUGUAAAGUCACUUUAUGGGAUUGACUCAUGAGAGUUGGCUGCUUUGUUGGUGCACUAUUGCCUGGAGAGGACAAAGGAGUCUAUUCUGCUAGUCUAAGAUUUCGUUUUUGCCGGAGUACAGACGCUUAUUUCUCGACUAUUCUGCUAGUUUAAGUUUUCGUUUUCGUCUAGUACAAUUGCUUAUUUCUCGACUGGAUUGUAUAAAUCAUCCAUUUAAGAUUUUCCUCUUGAUAACUGUCGUUUGAAGUGUUCAGAUGAUGUUGAUUUGUCAAGAUCAAAAGCCGAUUCUUCUAUUUGCAAUAUUUACUUUUUA